GGGUUGUGAGGUUAAGCGACUAAGCGUACACGGUGGAUGCCCUGGCAGUCAGAGGCGAUGAAGGACGUGCUAAUCUGCGAUAAGCGUCGGUAAGGUGAUAUGAACCGUUAUAACCGGCGAUUUCCGAAUGGGGAAACCCAGUGUGAUUCGUCACACUAUCAUUAACUGAAUCCAUAGGUUAAUGAGGCGAACCGGGGGAACUGAAACAUCUAAGUACCCCGAGGAAAAGAAAUCAACCGAGAUUCCCCCAGUAGCGGCGAGCGAACGGGGAGCAGCCCAGAGCCUGAAUCAGUGUGUGUGUUAGUGGAAGCGUCUGGAAAGGCGCGCGAUACAGGGUGACAGCCCCGUACACAAAAAUGCACAUACUGUGAGCUCGAUGAGUAGGGCGGGACACGUGGUAUCCUGUCUGAAUAUGGGGGGACCAUCCUCCAAGGCUAAAUACUCCUGACUGACCGAUAGUGAACCAGUACCGUGAGGGAAAGGCGAAAAGAACCCCGGCGAGGGGAGUGAAAAAGAACCUGAAACCGUGUACGUACAAGCAGUGGGAGCACGCUUAGGCGUGUGACUGCGUACCUUUUGUAUAAUGGGUCAGCGACUUAUAUUCUGUAGCAAGGUUAACCGAAUAGGGGAGCCGAAGGGAAACCGAGUCUUAACUGGGCGUUAAGUUGCAGGGUAUAGACCCGAAACCCGGUGAUCUAGCCAUGGGCAGGUUGAAGGUUGGGUAACACUAACUGGAGGACCGAACCGACUAAUGUUGAAAAAUUAGCGGAUGACUUGUGGCUGGGGGUGAAAGGCCAAUCAAACCGGGAGAUAGCUGGUUCUCCCCGAAAGCUAUUUAGGUAGCGCCUCGUGAAUUCAUCUCCGGGGGUAGAGCACUGUUUCGGCAAGGGGGUCAUCCCGACUUACCAACCCGAUGCAAACUGCGAAUACCGGAGAAUGUUAUCACGGGAGACACACGGCGGGUGCUAACGUCCGUCGUGAAGAGGGAAACAACCCAGACCGCCAGCUAAGGUCCCAAAGUCAUGGUUAAGUGGGAAACGAUGUGGGAAGGCCCAGACAGCCAGGAUGUUGGCUUAGAAGCAGCCAUCAUUUAAAGAAAGCGUAAUAGCUCACUGGUCGAGUCGGCCUGCGCGGAAGAUGUAACGGGGCUAAACCAUGCACCGAAGCUGCGGCAGCGACACUAUGUGUUGUUGGGUAGGGGAGCGUUCUGUAAGCCUGUGAAGGUGUACUGUGAGGUAUGCUGGAGGUAUCAGAAGUGCGAAUGCUGACAUAAGUAACGAUAAAGCGGGUGAAAAGCCCGCUCGCCGGAAGACCAAGGGUUCCUGUCCAACGUUAAUCGGGGCAGGGUGAGUCGACCCCUAAGGCGAGGCCGAAAGGCGUAGUCGAUGGGAAACAGGUUAAUAUUCCUGUACUUGGUGUUACUGCGAAGGGGGGACGGAGAAGGCUAUGUUGGCCGGGCGACGGUUGUCCCGGUUUAAGCGUGUAGGCUGGUUUUCCAGGCAAAUCCGGAAAAUCAAGGCUGAGGCGUGAUGACGAGGCACUACGGUGCUGAAGCAACAAAUGCCCUGCUUCCAGGAAAAGCCUCUAAGCAUCAGGUAACAUCAAAUCGUACCCCAAACCGACACAGGUGGUCAGGUAGAGAAUACCAAGGCGCUUGAGAGAACUCGGGUGAAGGAACUAGGCAAAAUGGUGCCGUAACUUCGGGAGAAGGCACGCUGAUAUGUAGGUGAAGUCCCUCGCGGAUGGAGCUGAAAUCAGUCGAAGAUACCAGCUGGCUGCAACUGUUUAUUAAAAACACAGCACUGUGCAAACACGAAAGUGGACGUAUACGGUGUGACGCCUGCCCGGUGCCGGAAGGUUAAUUGAUGGGGUCAGCGCAAGCGAAGCUCUUGAUCGAAGCCCCGGUAAACGGCGGCCGUAACUAUAACGGUCCUAAGGUAGCGAAAUUCCUUGUCGGGUAAGUUCCGACCUGCACGAAUGGCGUAAUGAUGGCCAGGCUGUCUCCACCCGAGACUCAGUGAAAUUGAACUCGCUGUGAAGAUGCAGUGUACCCGCGGCAAGACGGAAAGACCCCGUGAACCUUUACUAUAGCUUGACACUGAACAUUGAGCCUUGAUGUGUAGGAUAGGUGGGAGGCUUUGAAGUGUGGACGCCAGUCUGCAUGGAGCCGACCUUGAAAUACCACCCUUUAAUGUUUGAUGUUCUAACGUUGACCCGUAAUCCGGGUUGCGGACAGUGUCUGGUGGGUAGUUUGACUGGGGCGGUCUCCUCCUAAAGAGUAACGGAGGAGCACGAAGGUUGGCUAAUCCUGGUCGGACAUCAGGAGGUUAGUGCAAUGGCAUAAGCCAGCUUGACUGCGAGCGUGACGGCGCGAGCAGGUGCGAAAGCAGGUCAUAGUGAUCCGGUGGUUCUGAAUGGAAGGGCCAUCGCUCAACGGAUAAAAGGUACUCCGGGGAUAACAGGCUGAUACCGCCCAAGAGUUCAUAUCGACGGCGGUGUUUGGCACCUCGAUGUCGGCUCAUCACAUCCUGGGGCUGAAGUAGGUCCCAAGGGUAUGGCUGUUCGCCAUUUAAAGUGGUACGCGAGCUGGGUUUAGAACGUCGUGAGACAGUUCGGUCCCUAUCUGCCGUGGGCGCUGGAGAACUGAGGGGGGCUGCUCCUAGUACGAGAGGACCGGAGUGGACGCAUCACUGGUGUUCGGGUUGUCAUGCCAAUGGCACUGCCCGGUAGCUAAAUGCGGAAGAGAUAAGUGCUGAAAGCAUCUAAGCACGAAACUUGCCCCGAGAUGAGUUCUCCCUGACUCCUUGAGAGUCCUGAAGGAACGUUGAAGACGACGACGUUGAUAGGCCGGGUGUGUAAG
RNAcentral lists this ribosomal RNA (2860 nucleotides) under Escherichia coli. RNAcentral's name for it is "bacterial LSU rRNA". It matches the Rfam family "Bacterial large subunit ribosomal RNA". The record is from RNAcentral. Lineage: Bacteria; Pseudomonadati; Pseudomonadota; Gammaproteobacteria; Enterobacterales; Enterobacteriaceae.